AAUGGCAUAUGAUGGACAUUCUUAUCCUACACACUGAAUGCAAUGUGUGGACCAAUACUCCGCUUAUUAUCUGAUGCCACU
This 81-nucleotide small nucleolar RNA is filed under the name Oryza brachyantha (malo sina). Its description in RNAcentral is "Small nucleolar RNA R16". It matches the Rfam family "Small nucleolar RNA R16". From Rfam's summary of the family: snoR16 is a member of the C/D class of snoRNA which contain the C (UGAUGA) and D (CUGA) box motifs. Most of the members of the box C/D family function in directing site-specific 2'-O-methylation of substrate RNAs. Lineage: Eukaryota; Viridiplantae; Streptophyta; Magnoliopsida; Poales; Poaceae. The record is from Rfam by way of RNAcentral.